Molecule: ribosomal RNA, 304 nt
Filed under: uncultured bacterium
Lineage: Bacteria
Description: partial 16S ribosomal RNA
Rfam family: Bacterial small subunit ribosomal RNA
Source: RNAcentral
CAGCAGCAGCCACGGUAAUACGUAGGUGGCAAGCGUUGUCCGGAAUUAUUGGGCGUAAAGGGCUCGCAGGCGGUUUCUUAAGUCUGAUGUGAAAGCCCCCGGCUCAACCGGAGAGGGUCAUUGGAAACUGGGAAACUUGAGUGCAGAAGAGGAGAGUGGAAUUCCACGUGUAGCGGUGAAAUGCGUAGAGAUGUGGAGGAACACCAGUGGCGAAGGCGACUCUCUGGUCUGUAACUGACGCUGAGGAGCGAAAGCGUGGGGAGCGAACAGGAUUAGAUACCCCCGUAGUCCCUGUCUCUUAUAC